GGUUAAGCGACUAAGCGUACACGGUGGAUGCCCUGGCAGUCAGAGGCGAUGAAGGACGUGCUAAUCUGCGAUAAGCGUCGGUGAGGUGAUAUGAACCGUUAUAACCGGCGAUUUCCGAAUGGGGAAACCCAGUGUGAUUCGUCACACUAUCAUUAACUGAAUCCAUAGGUUAAUGAGGCGAACCGGGGGAACUGAAACAUCUAAGUACCCCGAGGAAAAGAAAUCAACCGAGAUUCCCCCAGUAGCGGCGAGCGAACGGGGAGGAGCCCAGAGCCUGAAUCAGUGUGUGUGUUAGUGGAAGCGUCUGGAAAGGCGUGCGAUACAGGGUGACAGCCCCGUACACAAAAAUGCACAUAUUGUGAGCUCGAUGAGUAGGGCGGGACACGUGGUAUCCUGUCUGAAUAUGGGGGGACCAUCCUCCAAGGCUAAAUACUCCUGACUGACCGAUAGUGAACCAGUACCGUGAGGGAAAGGCGAAAAGAACCCCGGCGAGGGGAGUGAAAAAGAACCUGAAACCGUGUACGUACAAGCAGUGGGAGCCUCUUAAUGGGGUGACUGCGUACCUUUUGUAUAAUGGGUCAGCGACUUAUAUUCUGUAGCAAGGUUAACCGAAUAGGGGAGCCGAAGGGAAACCGAGUCUUAACUGGGCGUUAAGUUGCAGGGUAUAGACCCGAAACCCGGUGAUCUAGCCAUGGGCAGGUUGAAGGUUGGGUAACACUAACUGGAGGACCGAACCGACUAAUGUUGAAAAAUUAGCGGAUGACUUGUGGCUGGGGGUGAAAGGCCAAUCAAACCGGGAGAUAGCUGGUUCUCCCCGAAAGCUAUUUAGGUAGCGCCUCGUGAAUUCAUCUCCGGGGGUAGAGCACUGUUUCGGCAAGGGGGUCAUCCCGACUUACCAACCCGAUGCAAACUGCGAAUACCGGAGAAUGUUAUCACGGGAGACACACGGCGGGUGCUAACGUCCGUCGUGAAGAGGGAAACAACCCAGACCGCCAGCUAAGGUCCCAAAGUCAUGGUUAAGUGGGAAACGAUGUGGGAAGGCCCAGACAGCCAGGAUGUUGGCUUAGAAGCAGCCAUCAUUUAAAGAAAGCGUAAUAGCUCACUGGUCGAGUCGGCCUGCGCGGAAGAUGUAACGGGGCUAAACCAUGCACCGAAGCUGCGGCAGCGACACUAUGUGUUGUUGGGUAGGGGAGCGUUCUGUAAGCCUGUGAAGGUGGCCUGUGAGGGUUGCUGGAGGUAUCAGAAGUGCGAAUGCUGACAUAAGUAACGAUAAAGCGGGUGAAAAGCCCGCUCGCCGGAAGACCAAGGGUUCCUGUCCAACGUUAAUCGGGGCAGGGUGAGUCGACCCCUAAGGCGAGGCCGAAAGGCGUAGUCGAUGGGAAACAGGUUAAUAUUCCUGUACUUGGUGUUACUGCGAAGGGGGGACGGAGAAGGCUAUGUUGGCCGGGCGACGGUUGUCCCGGUUUAAGCGUGUAGGCUGGUUUUCCAGGCAAAUCCGGAAAACCAAGGCUGAGGCGUGAUGACGAGGCACUACGGUGCUGAAGCGACAAAUGCCCUGCUUCCAGGAAAAGCCUCUAAGCAUCAGGUAACAUCAAAUCGUACCCCAAACCGACACAGGUGGUCAGGUAGAGAAUACCAAGGCGCUUGAGAGAACUCGGGUGAAGGAACUAGGCAAAAUGGUGCCGUAACUUCGGGAGAAGGCACGCUGAUAUGUAGGUGAAGCGACUUGCUCGUGGAGCUGAAAUCAGUCGAAGAUACCAGCUGGCUGCAACUGUUUAUUAAAAACACAGCACUGUGCAAACACGAAAGUGGACGUAUACGGUGUGACGCCUGCCCGGUGCCGGAAGGUUAAUUGAUGGGGUUAGCGGCAACGCGAAGCUCUUGAUCGAAGCCCCGGUAAACGGCGGCCGUAACUAUAACGGUCCUAAGGUAGCGAAAUUCCUUGUCGGGUAAGUUCCGACCUGCACGAAUGGCGUAAUGAUGGCCAGGCUGUCUCCACCCGAGACUCAGUGAAAUUGAACUCGCUGUGAAGAUGCAGUGUACCCGCGGCAAGACGGAAAGACCCCGUGAACCUUUACUAUAGCUUGACACUGAACAUUGAGCCUUGAUGUGUAGGAUAGGUGGGAGGCUUUGAAGUGUGGACGCCAGUCUGCAUGGAGCCGACCUUGAAAUACCACCCUUUAAUGUUUGAUGUUCUAACGUUGGCCCGUAAUCCGGGUUGCGGACAGUGUCUGGUGGGUAGUUUGACUGGGGCGGUCUCCUCCUAAAGAGUAACGGAGGAGCACGAAGGUUGGCUAAUCCUGGUCGGACAUCAGGAGGUUAGUGCAAUGGCAUAAGCCAGCUUGACUGCGAGCGUGACGGCGCGAGCAGGUGCGAAAGCAGGUCAUAGUGAUCCGGUGGUUCUGAAUGGAAGGGCCAUCGCUCAACGGAUAAAAGGUACUCCGGGGAUAACAGGCUGAUACCGCCCAAGAGUUCAUAUCGACGGCGGUGUUUGGCACCUCGAUGUCGGCUCAUCACAUCCUGGGGCUGAAGUAGGUCCCAAGGGUAUGGCUGUUCGCCAUUUAAAGUGGUACGCGAGCUGGGUUUAGAACGUCGUGAGACAGUUCGGUCCCUAUCUGCCGUGGGCGCUGGAGAACUGAGGGGGGCUGCUCCUAGUACGAGAGGACCGGAGUGGACGCAUCACUGGUGUUCGGGUUGUCAUGCCAAUGGCACUGCCCGGUAGCUAAAUGCGGAAGAGAUAAGUGCUGAAAGCAUCUAAGCACGAAACUUGCCCCGAGAUGAGUUCUCCCUGAGACUUAGAGUCUCCUGAAGGAACGUUGAAGACGACGACGUUGAUAGGCCGGGUGUGUAAGCGCAGCGAUGCGUUGAGCUAACCGGUACUAAUGAACCGUGAGGCUUAACCUU
Molecule: ribosomal RNA, 2904 nt
Filed under: Escherichia coli
Lineage: Bacteria; Pseudomonadati; Pseudomonadota; Gammaproteobacteria; Enterobacterales; Enterobacteriaceae
Description: 23S ribosomal RNA
Rfam family: Bacterial large subunit ribosomal RNA
Source: RNAcentral